AUUGAACGCUGGCGGCAGGCCUAACACAUGCAAGUCGAGCGAGCGGCGGACGGGUGAGUAAUGUCUGGGAAACUGCCUGAUGGAGGGGGAUAACUACUGGAAACGGUAGCUAAUACCGCAUACCAUCAGAUGUGCCCAGAUGGGAUUAGCUAGGAGGUGGGGUAACGGCUCACCUAGGCGACGAUCCCUAGCUGGUCUGAGAGGAUGACCAGCGACACUGGAACGUGGACACGGUCCAGACGCCUACGCGAGGCAGCAGUUGGGAAUAUUGCACAGUGGGCGCAAGCCGUAUGCAGCCAUGCCGCGUGUGUGAAAAAGGCCUUCGGGUUGUAAAGCACUUUCAGCGGGGAGGCGUUACCCGCAGAAGAAGCACCGGCUAACUCCGUGCCAGCAGCCGCGGUAAUAC
This 406-nucleotide ribosomal RNA is filed under the name uncultured bacterium. RNAcentral's name for it is "partial 16S ribosomal RNA". It matches the Rfam family "Bacterial small subunit ribosomal RNA", at positions 30 to 526 of the family's 1533-position model. The record is from RNAcentral.